CAGCAGCCACGGUAAUGCGUAGGGUGCGAGCGUUAAUCGGAAUUACUGGGCGUAAAGCGUGCGUAGGCGGUUUGUUAAGUCUGUUGUGGAGUCCCCGGGCUCAACCUGGGAAUGGCAAUGGAUACUGGCAAGCUAGAGUGUGUCAGAGGAUGGUGGAAUUCCCGGUGUAGCGGUGAAAUGCGUAGAGAUCGGGAGGAACAUCAGUGGCGAAGGCGGCCAUCUGGGACAACACUGACGCUGAGGCACGAAAGCGUGGGGAGCAAACAGGAUUAGAUACCCCAGUAGUCCCUGUCUCUUAUAC
This 301-nucleotide ribosomal RNA is filed under the name uncultured bacterium. RNAcentral's name for it is "partial 16S ribosomal RNA". It matches the Rfam family "Bacterial small subunit ribosomal RNA", at positions 509 to 807 of the family's 1533-position model. The record is from RNAcentral.